Molecule: long non-coding RNA, 1627 nt
Organism: Mercurialis annua (annual mercury)
Lineage: Eukaryota; Viridiplantae; Streptophyta; Magnoliopsida; Malpighiales; Euphorbiaceae
Exons: 2
Source: RefSeq, a predicted model, not a curated record
UUAUUUUCGUGUGUGUCCGAUUUUAAUUGAUUAGGACCUCGAAAAUAGUGAAUAAAUUCACGUGAUGAAUUUAUAAGGGUAAAAAUGUGAUUUGCUAUGUGUUUGCCUUAAAUGUGAUUUUUGGCAAUUUUACGUGUUAAAAGUGAAUUUUGUGAUUUUUCACUAAAAACCGUAAAAAUAAUUAUUUUAAAUAUUUUUAAAGGCCCAAAAAUAUUUUAAAAACAGCCCAUAUGAUAUGAUUUAAUGUUUUUGAAUAUUUGGUAAAGUUGAAAUUAUUUUGCCCCUAGAGUUCGAAUUAUUUACAAGAAUGCCAUAAUGGCAAACUUGUAAAUAAUUGAAACUUCAAAUAAUAUCUAGAUAUUUUCCUAAGCUAAACUUGGUGCCCAAGUCUCUAUUUCAUCUUCUUCAUUUGUGUGGGUGCCGAAUUCUUCACAAAACAAAACACAAAACUUUCAACUUUGAUUUUCUCUCAAAAAUUUCUUCACGAAAGUUGUCGGGGAUAUUGCGUAGAUCGUGUGUGUGUAUUUGCAUGUUCGUUUGAGAUCCAGCGAGUUUUGUCGCGGAAACCGGCGAGCAAAGGUUUUGAUAUUCGACGGGUGGUAUUUUUAAUAUUUGGAAUAAGCGAGUACUGUGAGUGUGUUUACAACUUAUACUGCUAAAUAUUAGUAUUAAAAAUAUUGCGAACUGCUUUACAUGAUUUGCAAAUGCUUUAUUUUAUUUUGAAUUUAAAUCGCAUGAACUAUAUACAUAGUUUUGAAACCGAUUUAGAUUCAUUGAAACAUGCUUACUAUUGGGCGGCAAUAGUGCUGUGUGAUCACCGGUAUUGCAUUUAGAAUGGGUUGCAUGUGAAUGUGCUGUGUGAAUCCUGGCGACGGCCUGGAAAGUCAGGCGACGGCCUAGACUCUGUGUGAACAGAUCUUCAGAGGCAACGGAAUAUAGACGACCAAAGGCAGUAAAGAGAAACUGCCGAGAUCUGAGAGGUUGAACCUUUUAUAAAAAAAAGUGAAAUUGGCGACAGUAUUUAUGUACUGCCGAAAUCCGUUGUAUUGUAAGAAGAGUCUGGGACUUUCAAAUACGUAAAAUAAGAAUAAUCGGAUUUGACUGGCUAAAAGUACAAAAAGAGAAAAUAAAUACGGCCAAAGAAAAAUAAAAGGUUAACCCGAAUAUGAUGAAAUGAUGUGGAAUAUUUAUGUUUCCUGUUUUGAAAGCAUAUAGGAACAUGAAUCAUGGUUUAGGGUUUCAUAUGAAUCGGUAAUCUGGAAUGCAUUGCUUUCAUAUUAAUGUUUAUUAGUACAUGUUGUACGCAUUCACCAGUUUUUAUAACUGACCCCGUUGAAUUUAAUAUUUUUACAGGCGAGUAGUUUGAGGUGCGGAUUUCCAAUUUCUUGUUCCGGAAAUCCCUGGAUUGAAUAAGUGAGAAUGACUUUCCUUUAUGUGUCUAGAGUUGCAGUAGCUAGAAUAAUGAACGGUGAUACCUUAGUGGUCGUUGGACUUAUUUAUGCUUUAUUUUAUUAUAACGCUAAACUCUGAUAAUAUGUAAUAUGUGAAUGCUGUGCGAAAGUCCGAGCGACUGCACUUGAAUAAAAUGCGGCGAACGCAUCUGCAUAGUGAAAUGCAGUUAAGUCCA